GAAAGCGAAGCUAAUACCUGAUAAGACUACAAUCUUCUAGGAGAUAGUAGGAAAAGAUGGCCUCUGUUUCAUGCUAUUGUUUAAGGAUGAGCCCUUGCACUAUUAGCUUGUUGGUGGGGUAAUGGCCCACCAAGGCUACGAUGGUUAGCUGGUCUGAGAGGAUGACCAGCCACACUGGAACUGAGACACGGUCCAGACUCCUACGGGAGGCAGCAGUGAGGAAUAUUGCGCAAUGGGGGAAACCCUGACGCAGUGACACCGCGUGAGCGAUGAAGGCUUUCGAGUCGUAAAGCUCUGUUAGGUGGAAAGAAAUAUUCCAGUGCCAAUACCACUGGGAUUUGACGGUACCACCAGAGGAAGCACCGGCUAACUCCGUGCCAGCAGCCGCGGUAAUACGGAGGGUGCAAGCGUUGUUCGGAAUUACUGGGCGUAAAGGGCGUGUAGGCGGUUAGGCAAGUCAGAUGUGAAAUCCCUUGGCUCAACCAAGGAAGUGCAUUUGAAACUGUUUAACUAGAGUACAGGAGGGGAAAGUGGAAUUCCCAGUGUAGAGGUGAAAUUCAUAGAUAUUGGGAGGAACACCGGUAGCGAA
Molecule: ribosomal RNA, 589 nt
Filed under: uncultured bacterium
Lineage: Bacteria
Description: bacterial SSU rRNA
Rfam family: Bacterial small subunit ribosomal RNA
Source: RNAcentral